CCGGUAUUGCCCAUGCCGACGACGAGCACACGCUUGCCUUCGAAGAUGUCGGCCGUCUUGUAGUCCUUCGCGUGCAUCAGCUUGCCGCUGAAUUCGCCCGGAAUCUUCGGCAUCAGGGGAUCGCUGAGAUGGCCGUUGGCGAAGAUGACGCUUUCAUAGUCGUCUGCGGUGCCGUUAUCGAAGGUGGCGCGCCAGCUUCCGUCCCGCUGCUCGAUCUUGCUGACUUCGGUAUUGAAACGGAUCGAGGGAUAGAGAUCGAAAUGUUUCGCGAACGACUUGAAAUAUUCCAAUACACGCUCGUGGCCCGGAUAGGCGGGCCAGUCCUCCGGCAUCGGGAAAUCCGCAUAGGCCGUGGUGCGCUUGGAGGAAAUCAGAUGCGUCGAGGCAUAGACCGCGCUGGGCGCCGCACCGUAGAGCCACUGCCCGCCGACAUCGGCGUUCUU
Molecule: unclassified non-coding RNA, 443 nt
Filed under: Hevea brasiliensis (rubber tree)
Lineage: Eukaryota; Viridiplantae; Streptophyta; Magnoliopsida; Malpighiales; Euphorbiaceae
Source: RNAcentral